RNAcentral lists this transfer RNA (88 nucleotides) under Acidobacteriota bacterium. RNAcentral's name for it is "Acidobacteria bacterium tRNA-Leu". It matches the Rfam family "tRNA". From Rfam's summary of the family: Transfer RNA (tRNA) molecules are approximately 80 nucleotides in length. Lineage: Bacteria; Pseudomonadati; Acidobacteriota. The record is from RNAcentral. RNAcentral also lists the same sequence under 1 other name.
GCCGGAGUGGCGAAAUGGCAGACGCGCCGGACUCAAAAUCCGGUGGGGUUCACUCUCCGUGUGGGUUCGAGUCCCACCUCCGGCACCA